RNAcentral lists this ribosomal RNA (496 nucleotides) under uncultured bacterium. RNAcentral describes it as "partial 16S ribosomal RNA". It matches the Rfam family "Bacterial small subunit ribosomal RNA", at positions 30 to 523 of the family's 1533-position model. The record is from RNAcentral.
AUUGAACGCUGGCGGAAUGCUUUACACAUGCAAGUCGAACGGUGGAGGGGGCAACCCCUCGAGAGUGGCGAACGGGUGAGUAAUAUAUCGGAACGUGCCCAGUCGUGGGGGAUAACGUAGCGAAAGUUACGCUAAUACCGCAUACGAUCUAAGGAUGAAAGCGGGGGAUCGCAAGACCUCGUGCGAUUGGAGCGGCCGAUAGUAGAUGAGGUAGUUGGUGGGGAAAAGGCUCACAAAGCAAGCGAUCUGUAGCUGUUCUGAGAGGACGACCGGCCACACUGGAACGGGGACAGGGUCCAGACUCCUACGGGGGGCAGCAGGGGGGAAUUUUGGACAAUGGACGCAAGUCUGAUCCAGCCAUUCCGCGUGGAGGAUAAAGGCCCUCGGGUUGUAAACUGUUUUUGUACGGAACGAAAAGGUCUCUCUUAAUACGGGGGACUCAUGACGGUACCGUAAGAAUAAGCACCGGCUAACUACGUGCCAGCAGCCGCCGUAA